GACGAACGCUGGCGGCGUGCUUAACACAUGCAAGUCGAACGAAGAGCGAUGGAAGCUUGCUUCUAUCAAUCUUAGUGGCGAACGGGUGAGUGACGCGUAAUCAACCUGCCCUUCAGAGGGGGACAACAGUUGGAAACGACUGCUAAUACCGCAUACGAUCUAAUCUCGGCAUCGAGGAAAGAUGAAAGGUGGCCUCUAUUUAUAAGCUAUCACUGAAGGAGGGGAUUGCGUCUGAUUAGCUAGUUGGAGGGGUAACGGCCCACCAAGGCGAUGAUCAGUAGCCGGUCUGAGAGGAUGAACGGCCACAUUGGGACUGAGACACGGCCCAGACUCCUACGGGAGGCAGCAGUGGGGAAUCUUCCGCAAUGGACGAAAGUCUGACGGAGCAACGCCGCGUGAGUGAUGACGGCCUUCGGGUUGUAAAGCUCUGUUAAUCGGGACGAAAGGCCUUCUUGCGAACAGUUAGAAGGAUUGACGGUACCGGAAUAGAAAGCCACGGCUAACUACGUG
RNAcentral lists this ribosomal RNA (510 nucleotides) under uncultured bacterium. RNAcentral's name for it is "partial 16S ribosomal RNA". It matches the Rfam family "Bacterial small subunit ribosomal RNA", at positions 28 to 507 of the family's 1533-position model. The record is from RNAcentral.